This 394-nucleotide ribosomal RNA is filed under the name uncultured bacterium. Its description in RNAcentral is "bacterial SSU rRNA". It matches the Rfam family "Bacterial small subunit ribosomal RNA", at positions 997 to 1393 of the family's 1533-position model. The record is from RNAcentral.
GUAUGUAAUGUACUCUUUCUUCGGAACACCGGUGACAGGUGGUGCAUGGUUGUCGUCAGCUCGUGUCGUGAGAUGUUGGGUUAAGUCCCGCAACGAGCGCAACCCCUGUCCUUAGUAGCCAGCAGUUCGGCUGGGCACUCUAGGGAGACUGCCAGGGAUAACCUGGAGGAAGGCGGGGAUGACGUCAAAUCAUCAUGCCCCUUAUGACUUGGGCUACACACGUGCUACAAUGGCGUAAACAAAGGGAAGCGAAAAGGUGACUUCUAGCAAAUCCCAAAAAUAACGUCCCAGUUCGGACUGUAGUCUGCAACUCGACUACACGAAGCUGGAAUCGCUAGUAAUCGCGAAUCAGAAUGUCGCGGUGAAUACGUUCCCGGGUCUUGUAACACACCGA